AUUGAACGCUGGCGGCAGGCCUAACACAUGCAAGUCGAGCGGAUGAAGGGAGCUUGCUCCUGGAUUCAGCGGCGGACGGGUGAGUAAUGCCUAGGAAUCUGCCUGGUAGUGGGGGAUAACGUCCGGAAACGGGCGCUAAUACCGCAUACGUCCUGAGGGAGAAAGUGGGGGAUCUUCGGACCUCACGCUAUCAGAUGAGCCUAGGUCGGAUUAGCUAGUUGGUGGGGUAAAGGCCUACCAAGGCGACGAUCCGUAACUGGUCUGAGAGGAUGAUCAGUCACACAGGAACUGAGACACGGACCAAACUCCUACGGGAGGCAGCAGUGGGGAAUAUAGGAAGAAGGGCGAAAGUAUGAGCAAGCCAAGCCGCGGGUGUAAAGAAGCUCGGCGGAUUGUAAAGAACUUUAAGUUGGAAGGAAGGGGAGUAAUGUAAUACCGUGGUGUUGUGAGUUUACCAACAGAAAAAGCACGGGGUAAAGUCA
Molecule: ribosomal RNA, 482 nt
Filed under: uncultured bacterium
Lineage: Bacteria
Description: partial 16S ribosomal RNA
Rfam family: Bacterial small subunit ribosomal RNA
Source: RNAcentral